GCAGAGGUGGAGACUGUCAUUAGUCGCCUUUAAGUCCAACAAGAAAUUUGUGUUUCGUUUUGACAAAGCACAGUUACAAAACAGUCAAGCAGCACAGUUUAGUAUCAUCUGAGAAAAAGCUUGUAUGGGUUCAAUCCUCUGCUUCCCCAACUAAUAAGACAAGCAGCUUAGGCAACAAUUGGGAAUACAAAUUAUGUUCAAGGAAAUUUCACGAAAUGUUGUUCUUAGAGGCGACUAAUGACAGUCUCCACCUCUGCAGGCGUAUACAGAUGAUAUGUUGGAGCCACCUUUGCAAUAUCAACAUUGUUGGGAGUCACCUUUUCUUCCAUAACUUGCUUCAGAAUGGAAAGUGCAAUUGUCUCAGCCUCUUGAAGAGUGAGGUCCUUGUUAUAUUGCUCUUGCAAAGAGCUAUCUGCACCUUCUGAUCCUGAACCAAUAGCCUUAGCAUUGCAUUGCCAAAAUGUGCCAGAUGGAUCUGUAUAGUACAGGCUAGGACCAUUCUCAUCAUGACCAGCAAUGAGAAGCGACACCCCAAAUGGACGAGACAUGGAUUCUUCAUCGCCUUCACCAAAUCGCAAAGCCAGAUCACAGAGUGCUUGGGUUGUAGACUCCACUGUCAUGGGCUCACCAUACGAGAAUCUAUGGUUCUGAGUCUCCACACGUGCAUGCUCAACAAGUGUACGAGCAUCUGCAAUUAAUCCACUCAUAGCACAUCCAAUAUGCUCAUCAAUUUCCAUAACCUUUUCCACACUACUGGGCUCCAGCAGUGGUGAAGUGAUACGCUUCUCAACUGCAAGCACAACACCUUCUUUUGUCUUUAACCCAAUUGCAGUUGAACCUAGCUUAAUGGCUUCAAUAGCAUAUUCAACCUGAAACAAUCUGCCUUCAGGAGAGAAAGUGUUCACUCCUCGGUCAUACUCGGUCCUUGUGAGGAACAUCUUUGGCUCGAUCUAAAUGGUGAAUCCUUGAGAGAGAGAGAGAGAGAAGAACAAGGGGGCACAGUAGGUCUAUUU
This 1013-nucleotide unclassified non-coding RNA is filed under the name Hevea brasiliensis (rubber tree). Lineage: Eukaryota; Viridiplantae; Streptophyta; Magnoliopsida; Malpighiales; Euphorbiaceae. The record is from RNAcentral.